UAGGGAAUAUUGGUCAAUGGGCGAGAGCCUGAACCAGCCAUGCCGCGUGCAGGAAGACGGCCUUCUGGGUUGUAAACUGCUUUUCUACGGGAAGAAAAUGCCCUUGCGAGGGAAAUUGCCGGUACCGUAGGAAUAAGCACCGGCUAACUCCGUGCCAGCAGCCGCGGUAAUACGGAGGGUGCAAGCGUUGUCCGGAUUUAUUGGGUUUAAAGGGUGCGUAGGCGGAUCUUUAAGUCAGUGGUGAAAGCCUGCAGCUUAACUGUAGAACUGCCAUUGAUACUGGAGGUCUUGAGUACACUAGAGGUAGGCGGAAUUUAUGGUGUAGCGGUGAAAUGCAUAGAUACCAUAAAGAACACCUAUAGCGUAGGCAGCUUACUGGAGUGUAACUGACGCUGAGGCACGAAAGCAUGGGGAGCGAACAGG
RNAcentral lists this ribosomal RNA (423 nucleotides) under uncultured bacterium. RNAcentral's name for it is "bacterial SSU rRNA". It matches the Rfam family "Bacterial small subunit ribosomal RNA", at positions 355 to 776 of the family's 1533-position model. The record is from RNAcentral.